Molecule: long non-coding RNA, 281 nt
Organism: Cavia porcellus (domestic guinea pig)
Lineage: Eukaryota; Metazoa; Chordata; Mammalia; Rodentia; Caviidae
Exons: 3
Source: RefSeq, a predicted model, not a curated record
CAAAAGCAACAGGGCCAAGAAACCAUGGACUGAAACUCCUGGAACCGUGAGCCAAAAUAAGUCCUUCCUUCUCUGAAGUUAAUGGUCUCAGUGUUCCCCUGCAUGAAUGUACUACAGUUCACCCAUUCUUCGCCGGUGGACAUCUGGGCUGUUUCCAGUUUCCAGCUAUUAUGAACUCCAGGGCUGUGACCACUUUGGAGCUACUCAAUCACUGUUGCCUGCACAGGACUCCCAGACACCCCCAGGCCCUCCUCACUGCACCCCACCCCGCUCACCGCAGU